AGGCAUCGACUUUUCCGCCAAAAGCAGGAUAAUCUCCCCCCUAAAUUAAAGAUCCCAACUUCUUCCCACCCAUAUCAAAAACCGUAACUUCAUCUUCCCCAAAUUGAAGAUUCCAAAUCUGAAGUCGUUGAAGCUUCUUUCUUCAGAAGAUUUAAGGCUCGAUUUUGGAAAUUUGGUGAGAUCCAUGAAGUUUCAAGAACCAAAGACUAAAUUCUUUGGUCUUUUGAGCUGCUGCUAUUGUGUUAUCAAGUUUGAACACCUUUUGGGAAGAUCUUAGUAAAGAUAUCUUGUGUUCAAUUUAUUUUAUGAUUUGUAACAAUGAUCUCAAGAUUAACUGGAGAUCAUGUUUAGAUUGAAUUAGCCUAGAAUUUUCAUAUUUAGAUUGAGAUAGCUACUGUAAUAGUAUAGAUGAUCUUGUUACUUCAUCUGUGGAUUCUUAUUUUUGUUAUAUUCUAUUGUGUCUGAUGUUACUGUAA
Nicotiana tabacum (common tobacco) is the source of this 476-nucleotide long non-coding RNA. RefSeq lists it as uncharacterized. NCBI's taxonomy places the organism in Eukaryota, Viridiplantae, Streptophyta, Magnoliopsida, Solanales, Solanaceae. The record is from RefSeq and is a predicted model, not a curated record.